UACGGGGGGGGCAAGCGUUGUUCGGAAUUACUGGGCGUAAAGGGCUCGUAGGCGGCCAACUAAGUCAGACGUGAAAUCCCUCGGCUUAACCGGGGAACUGCGUCUGAUACUGGAUGGCUAGAGGUUGGGAGAGGGAUGCGGAAUUCCUGGUGUAGCGGUGAAAUGCGCAGAUAUCAGGAAGAACACCCGUGGCGAAGGCGGCUCUCUGGUACGUGACUGACGCUGAGACGCGAAAGCGUGGGGAGCGAACAGG
Molecule: ribosomal RNA, 253 nt
Filed under: uncultured bacterium
Lineage: Bacteria
Description: partial 16S ribosomal RNA
Rfam family: Bacterial small subunit ribosomal RNA
Source: RNAcentral